Long non-coding RNA from Leucoraja erinaceus (little skate), 994 nucleotides. RefSeq lists it as uncharacterized. The transcript is spliced from 2 exons. NCBI's taxonomy places the organism in Eukaryota, Metazoa, Chordata, Chondrichthyes, Rajiformes, Rajidae. The record is from RefSeq and is a predicted model, not a curated record.
AAAAAUUAAAAUAAAUAAUAAAUAAAAAUGCCUCACCCUAUAUCCCUGAUGGGGAAGGAAAUGGAUUAGGGCUUUGGAGGAGGAGAACGUGGGACGAUUAUUGGCCAUGAAAGAUUUGAAGGCACCAUUGGUAAAAGUAGUGGGAACCACUAAGUGUCAGAUAAAGAUGAUGUAAAUUGUUACAACCGGGCCGACAAAAGACUACAAACAUGGCCGCCGCUCACAAACUUACCGGCUACAGCGCCAUCUUCUGGUUGGAUGCCGUCAUGACCGAGGGUAUGCAGGCCCCUCAGCAAAUGUUACCCACUUAAGGUGAACCCCAAGGAACAAAGGGGAAUGAAAAGGUGGAGAGUUGAAAAUGAACAAGAAAAAGAAGGCAUGUGGACAUUAUAUUAUGAACUAUUGUGGUGGAAGUCAUUCUUCUUAAAGUCAAGCAGAAUUGAAGGAGGUGGUGGGAUUGUCAUUUAUUUCCAACCCCCGAUUCAGCAAACAGUUGGUCUCUGCGGUCAAUGUCAAUGAACAAAGCCCCUGGUUGAAAAGACUGAAAUAAGUGAUGAACUGACACAAAAUUAAAAACCAAGGAGCUGUUGGCACAGAGUCCCCAUCUCGACUUGCCAAUCCAUUCUGUGAAAGCAGAGAACUGGGAUCUUGUAAAAUCAUGGAAGGAAGAAAAGCUGCAACCAAAGUGGACUGGACCCUACCUUGUGUUAUUAAUCACCGAGACAGCAGUACGAACAAAAGAAAAAGGGUGGACACACGCAAACCGAUUUAAGGGUCCUGUGGAGGCCCCACCGGACAAUAUCAGCCCGUAGACUGUGCUUGAAGGGAAGGAACCAUUGACUUUGUGCCUAUUCGGAUGUUGUAUUAUUCCCUGCGCUGGCCUUCAGAACACAGUAUGACUAGCGAGAGGAGGAUAGGGAGGCGAAGAAUCUGCUGCUAGCACUAGAAAAGGAAGAUAUAGUAUAAUUCAAAAGAUGCGUAGCAAAAAGAAAAA